This 61-nucleotide small RNA is filed under the name Mytilus galloprovincialis (Mediterranean mussel). The record is from RNAcentral. Lineage: Eukaryota; Metazoa; Mollusca; Bivalvia; Mytilida; Mytilidae.
CGCAAACGUUUGCUGCAAGCUUGCGGCAAUGUUUGCUGCAAGCUUGCGGCAAAUGUUUGCC